This 253-nucleotide ribosomal RNA is filed under the name uncultured bacterium. RNAcentral's name for it is "partial 16S ribosomal RNA". It matches the Rfam family "Bacterial small subunit ribosomal RNA", at positions 524 to 776 of the family's 1533-position model. The record is from RNAcentral.
UACAGAGGGUGCAAGCGUUAAUCGGAAUUACUGGGCGUAAAGCGUGCGUAGACGGUUACAUAAGUCGGGUGUGAAAGCCCCGGGCUCAACCUGGGAAUUGCAUUCGAGACUGCGUAGCUAGGGUGCGGAAGAGGGAAGCGGAAUUUCCGGUGUAGCGGUGAAAUGCGUAGAUAUCGGAAGGAACACCAGUGGCGAAAGCGGCUUCCUGGUUGGAUACUGACGCUGAGACGCGAAAGCGUGGGGAGCAAACAGG